This is a long non-coding RNA of Cynara cardunculus var. scolymus (artichoke), 495 nucleotides long. RefSeq lists it as uncharacterized. The transcript is spliced from 4 exons. The record is from RefSeq and is a predicted model, not a curated record. Lineage: Eukaryota; Viridiplantae; Streptophyta; Magnoliopsida; Asterales; Asteraceae.
AAUGAGAAGUUAUUGUCAGCUAUGGAGACGUUGAAGCAUGGGGAAGCAGUGGAUAUUCCAAAAUAUAAUUUCAGGAGUUAUAAGAACAACGUCUCUCGAAGGGGAACACGGGCAAGGUUUUACACCUCAUGUUAUUUCUGUGACUGCCGGAGAGCUUUAUGAUCUUGCUAGAAACGGUGUUCCUCUGAGAUGAUAUUCCUCCUUCGCUCUGCACAAAAUAUCGCUGUGAACAUGAAUUCACAUGUGAAUGGUCCAUCUCUAUGGUUGAUCAUCCUGAAGAUCUAAUCAUUCUCUAGUGACUUUUCUGAAACAGGUGGUUGAUGGCCAAAGUCUUGUUUUAGCAUUGCUGCUGACAUGCUGACACAAAAAAUUGAGGAACAUGUGUCGAUACCUAUACUUUGUACCUUGUUUGCAUCAAGUAGCCGUGGUUAACCGAUAUAUAAACUCGUUUAGUUUCUUGUCUGAAUACCUUUUCCGUUUGUAAAUAUUUUCCUU